AUGCCGCUGCUGGUGACGCUUCUGGCCGCACCAGCCACGGCGGCCGCCGCGCCCGUCCGCCGUUGCCCGACGAGCUGCGGCCUGAUCGACUUCUCCUACCCGUUCGGCGUAGGCCCCCGGUGCUCGCUGCCGGGGUUCAACCUCACCUGCGACGCCAACGGGCGCCUCCUGCUCGGCAGCCCCAGCGUCACGGUGGACUACACGAUCUUGGCGAGCGGCUUCAUUUCCUCGCUCGCCGUCAACAUCGUGCGCACGGUGCGCAUGGGACCCCGCGCCGGCGUCGGGACGGUCUCCGCCUCAUGGGACGGCCCCGGCAGGCCGUUCGCCAUCUCCGGCACGUCUAACAUGUCGCUGUUCGUCCUCGGCUGCGGCGUCACGGCCACGCUGCUCGACCGUGGGGCUGCGGUGGGGAACUGCUCCGUGGCCUGCGCCGGGGAGGAGGUCAUGCGGAGGCUGCCGGACGGGCUCUGCGUCGGCGUGGGCUGCUGCCGCAUCAAUGUACGCGUACACCUCCGGGCGUUCACCGUGAACUUGUCACGCACCGGCGACGGUGUAAGCCGGGACAAACUGACCUUCUUCGUCACCGGCCAGGGCAGGUACACGUUCCGGCCCAGCGAUCUGGAGCGUGACAUUCAUCCCGACAUGGUCCCUCCGGCUCGGCUGGACUGGGCCAUCCCUGGCCAGCCAGACUGCCGGCACGCCAUGGACGACAGGGUGACAUAUGCCUGUGUCAGUAACCAGAGCGAGUGCCGGGACUCGCCGAUCGGAGGCUACGCCUGCCACUGCUCCCGGGGCUUCUCCGGCAACCCCUAUGCCGUCGAUGGCUGCGUGCCAGACCAAGUUUAUGGCUCCAUUCAGCCGAAGGCGAACUGUCCGACGAUGUGCGGGAACGUGAGCGUUCCAUUCCCCUUCGGCACAGAGCUGGGCUGCUUUGCCAGGAUCCAUCUUUACCUGACAUGUAACCCAGGGCGCUCUCCUGCCAUCCUCCAAAUGACCCAGCACUCAUAUCCAUCGACGAGGGCGUGUUGAGGAUUCAGAAGCGGUCCGACCCGGGUGAUUUCUUGGGGGAUCGAGACACCACGCUCUACUCGUUCUCUGGAGAAUCGGGCAUGGUGAAAUGGGCUGUCGAUGACCCGACGUGCAGGGAGGCAAUGCUGAACAACAAGGAGUACAGAUGCUUGAGCGCUCAUAGCCACUGCGUGGAUGUCACCGACGACAGAACAAGCAAGCAUGUGGGAUACAGGUGCAAAUGCUCUUCCGGUUUCCAAGGAAAUCCUUACCUCCAAGGUGGAUGCACAGAUAUCAACGAGUGCUUGCAGCCAGAUAAAUACACUUGCAAUGGAAUCUGUCAGAAUAGCCUCGGAAGUUUUACUUGCUUUGGUUGCCCGCGUGGGACAGAUUUUGACAUUAUUGCAAGGAAGUGCAAAGCAUCCAAUGUUAUCUUAGGUGUUACCAUUGGACUGAGCUCUGGCGCGGGGAUUCUGUUUCUUGCCGUGAUUACGAUCAUUAUCAUCCAUAGAUGGAAGAAAGGCGUCCAGAAACAGCUCAAGAAGAGCUACUUUCGCAAGAACAAGGGCAUCCUCCUUGAACAGCUCGUCUCCUCUGACCCAAGUGCCAGUGACAGCACCAAGAUAUUCUCCCUGGAAGAGCUAGAGAAGGCGACCAACAACUUUGACCACUCGCGCGUGGUCGGCCGUGGCGGCCACGGGACGGUCUACAAGGGCAUCCUGAUGGACCAGCGCGUUGUCGCCAUCAAGAGGGCAAAGCUGGUGGCGAGCGCCGAGAUCGACCAGUUCAUCAACGAGGUUGCCAUCCUGUCGCAGAUCAACCAUCGGAACGUCGUGAAGCUCCAUGGAUGCUGCCUGGAGUCCGAGGUCCCUCUGCUCGUCUACGAGUUCGUCUCCAGCGGCACGCUCUACGACCUCUUGAACGGGGCGCAAGAUGGUAGGCUUCUGCCGAUGCCUUGGGAGGAGCGCCUAAGGAUCGCCACCGAGAUCGCGGGCGCGCUCACGUACCUGCACUCGGCAGCUUCAAUGUCGAUACUUCAUCGAGACAUCAAGUCCAUGAACGUGCUCCUGAACGACAGCCAUACGGCAAAGGUUUCGGAUUUUGGUGCGUCGAGGUCGAUACCGAUUGACCAGACACAUCUGGUCACUGCCGUGCAGGGCACCUUUGGCUACUUGGAUCCGGAGUACUACCACACGGGCCGAUUAACCGAGAAGAGCGAUGUCUACAGUUUCGGGGUGAUUCUUGUCGAAUUGCUGAUGAGAAAGAAGCCGCUCAUUGAGAACGAGAAUGGCGAGAAGCAGAACUUGUCCAACUACUUCCUGUGGGCUAUGGGGGAGAGGCCUCUAGAGGAGAUAGUGGAUAAGCAGGUUCUGCGGGAAGAAGAUAUAGAGGCGAUCAAGCACGUGGCUUUCUUGGCGCGAGAGUGCUUGAACCUGAGAGGGCAGAAGAGACCUAGCAUGAAGGACGUGGAGAUGAGGUUACAAUUCCUGAGGGCACGGAAGGUUGCUCCAGGAAAGGAUGAAGUAGUUCGAUCUCACCGUGAUGUAGUAGGAGGAGAUUGGCAUGGAGGCGUUGUUCCGGCGGCUGGUCACGAUGGCACACGCCAGUACAGUCUAGAGCAAGAGUACGCGUCAUCCUUGCGCAUACCACGAUAA
RNAcentral lists this ribosomal RNA (2663 nucleotides) under Triticum aestivum (bread wheat). RNAcentral describes it as "partial small subunit ribosomal RNA". The record is from RNAcentral. Lineage: Eukaryota; Viridiplantae; Streptophyta; Magnoliopsida; Poales; Poaceae.